AUGCGGCCUCAGAGCAUAAUUGGUUACUACUUGGUACUAAUUGCCAUCUUCAUACUGGGUCUGUUGAGUUGUGAGCUACUCCCUCCGUCCCAUAAUGGCUGCGCUCUUGAAGGCAGACUCCACAUCAACAAGCACAUGUUGAAUUUUUUUGCUGGAGUCCAUGACGCUGUUGAUGAGACACAUAGGGAUGUCCUGGAGGCAGGGCAAACAUUCCAUGUCGGCGAAUUCCACGGUGAGCGUCCGUGCCUUGGGCAUAGCUCCUGUCUCGAAGCUCAGGCAUGCUGUGACAUCUUCAUCAAAUCGGAACUCAAAGUACUCCAAAACUAG
This 327-nucleotide ribosomal RNA is filed under the name Triticum aestivum (bread wheat). Its description in RNAcentral is "partial small subunit ribosomal RNA". Lineage: Eukaryota; Viridiplantae; Streptophyta; Magnoliopsida; Poales; Poaceae. The record is from RNAcentral.